Molecule: ribosomal RNA, 118 nt
Organism: Lachnospiraceae bacterium 5_1_57FAA
Lineage: Bacteria; Bacillati; Bacillota; Clostridia; Lachnospirales; Lachnospiraceae
Source: Rfam
UCUGGCGGCGAUACGCCCAGGGGCAACACCCGUUCCCAUCCCGAACACGAUGGUUAAGCCCUGGGAGGCCGAUGGUACUUUACUGGAGACGGUACGGGAGAGCAGGUGGCUGCCAGAA